GAUGAACGCUGGCGGCGUGCCUAAUACAUGCAAGUCGAGCGAACAGAUGAGGAGCUUGCUCCUCUGACGUUAGCGGCGGACGGGUGAGUAACACGUGGAUAACCUACCUAUAAGACUGGGAUAACUUCGGGAAACCGGAGCUAAUACCGGAUAAUAUAUUGAACCGCAUGGUUCAAUAGUGAAAGACGGUUUUGCUGUCACUUAUAGAUGGAUCCGCGCCGCAUUAGCUAGUUGGUAAGGUAACGGCUUACCAAGGCAACGAUGCGUAGCCGACCUGAGAGGGUGAUUGGCCACACUGGAAAUGAGACACGGUCCAGACUCCUAAGGGAGGCAGCAGUAGGGAAUCCUCCGCAAUGGGCGAAAGCCUGACGGAGCAACGCCGCGUGAGUGAUGAAGGUCUUCGGAUCGUAAAACUCUGUUAUUAGGGAAGAACAAAUGUGUAAGUAACUAUGCACGUCUUGACGGUACCUAAUCAGAAAGCCACGGCUAACUACGUG
This 497-nucleotide ribosomal RNA is filed under the name uncultured bacterium. RNAcentral's name for it is "partial 16S ribosomal RNA". It matches the Rfam family "Bacterial small subunit ribosomal RNA", at positions 28 to 507 of the family's 1533-position model. The record is from RNAcentral.